UUUGAGAUGGAAAUUAACUGAGAAAUUGCAAGUAUUUGCGUGUGAAUUCUUGAAUGAUUGUUAAGGAAUUUAUUGACGUUAAGCCACAUUUCACAUAUCCUGGAGAAUAGAAUCCAAUACGCUCCAAAAAAAGAGUAUAUUAUUAAUUCACAACCGAAUGGAAAAGAAAUCAGGUGAGGAGGUAGUCAGCACGACAAUGUCCCGUUCCAUCAAAGUGACAUCAGCCAGCUAAUAUCCUCUAAGAAGUUAUUACUGCCAACCCGCAUCAUGUCUAUAGCAAAGGCUUUUAGUUAUUACAUAUAAAGUAUAGAAAAAAAUGUGUCCCUCAAUCCUAAAAAAAACUUUUAUCCUAAAAUUUGGAUCUAUAACAAUUCCUACACGCCUCUGUGGCCUGGUUAAAGCGGUUUGCUGGCAACGUUUUUGUUGGCUGUUGCUGGCAAACUUUUAGCAACUUCAUGCUUCGCCUCGAAUUUAAUAUAUAAAUUUUUUGUUCACUCUUCCGAAGGCAAUUUUAGUUUGACUUUGUCCGUGUUAAGAUAUAUUUAAUAUUGCCAAUCAUGUCAUAUUUAGUACGAAAAAAUAUUGUUUUCACUGAAUUCUUCAUAUUAUGUUUUCGUACCGGUCCGUAUCACGUGGAUACGCAUUUCAAGGAAUUUACUAAAUAAACAUAGCACCACUUCUAUAGUUUUAAAUGUGACUUAUAAAUUGUCAAAUUUGUUUUCUUUACAUAUAAAAACGAUGAGAGAAAGGA
Molecule: long non-coding RNA, 751 nt
Organism: Pieris brassicae (large cabbage white)
Lineage: Eukaryota; Metazoa; Arthropoda; Insecta; Lepidoptera; Pieridae
Exons: 2
Source: RefSeq, a predicted model, not a curated record